UUGUAACUCCGGAAAGAGAGGGAUUCAC
RNAcentral lists this transfer RNA (28 nucleotides) under Leiomitrium plicatum. Its description in RNAcentral is "partial tRNA-Ser". Lineage: Eukaryota; Viridiplantae; Streptophyta; Bryopsida; Orthotrichales; Orthotrichaceae. The record is from RNAcentral.